This 247-nucleotide ribosomal RNA is filed under the name uncultured bacterium. RNAcentral's name for it is "partial 16S ribosomal RNA". It matches the Rfam family "Bacterial small subunit ribosomal RNA", at positions 29 to 300 of the family's 1533-position model. The record is from RNAcentral.
AGCGAACGCUGGCGGCAGGCCUAACACAUGCAAGUCGAGCGCCCGUAGCGAUACGGGAGCGGCAGACGGGAGAGUAACACGUGGGAACGUACCCUUUGGUUCGGAACAACACAGGGAAACUUGUGCUAAUACCGGAUAAGCCCUUACGGGGAAAGAUUUAUCGCCAAAGGAUCGGCCCGCGUCUGAUUAGCUAGUUGGUGGGGUAACGGCGUCACCAAGGCGACGAUCAGUAGCUGGUCUGAGAGGA